ACACUCCUACGGGAGGCAGCAGUAGGGAAUCUUCGGCAAUGGGGGCAACCCUGACCGAGCAACGCCGCGUGAGUGAAGAAGGUUUUCGGAUCGUAAAGCUCUGUUGUAAGUCAAGAACGAGUGCGAGAGUGGAAAGUUCACACUGUGACGGUAGCUUACCAGAAAGGGACGGCUAACUACGUGCCAGCAGCCGCGGUAAUACGUAGGUCCCGAGCGUUGUCCGGAUUUAUUGGGCGUAAAGCGAGCGCAGGCGGUUUGAUAAGUCUGAAGUUAAAGGCUGUGGCUCAACCAUAGUUCGCUUUGGAAACUGUCAAACUUGAGUGCAGAAGGGGAGAGUGGAAUUCCAUGUGUAGCGGUGAAAUGCGUAGAUAUAUGGAGGAACACCGGUGGCGAAAGCGGCUCUCUGGUCUGUAACUGACGCUGAGGCUCGAAAGCGUGGGGAGCGAACAGGAUUAGAAACCCCAGUAGUCCCAUGA
Molecule: ribosomal RNA, 476 nt
Filed under: uncultured organism
Description: partial 16S ribosomal RNA
Rfam family: Bacterial small subunit ribosomal RNA
Source: RNAcentral